AAGGAAUAUUGGUCAAUGGGCGAAAGCCUGAACCAGCCAUCCCGCGUGCAGGAUGACUGCCCUAUGGGUUGUAAACUGCUUUAGACUGAGAAGAAACCCCUCAAUGCGUUGGGGGCUGACGGUAUCAGUAGAAUAAGCACCGGCUAACUCCGUGCCAGCAGCCGCGGUAAUACGGAGGGUGCAAGCGUUAUCCGGAAUCACUGGGUUUAAAGGGUGCGUAGGCGGCUUGAUAAGUCAGAGGUGAAAGCCCGCAGCUUAACUGCGGAACGGCCUUUGAUACUGUUGAGCUUGAAACAGGACGAGGUUGGCGGAAUGUGGCAUGUAGCGGUGAAAUGCAUAGAUAUGCCAUAGAACACCGAUUGCGAAGGCAGCUGGCUAGACCUGAUUUGACGCUGAGGCACGAAAGCGUGGGGAGCGAAC
This 420-nucleotide ribosomal RNA is filed under the name uncultured bacterium. RNAcentral's name for it is "bacterial SSU rRNA". It matches the Rfam family "Bacterial small subunit ribosomal RNA", at positions 356 to 773 of the family's 1533-position model. The record is from RNAcentral.